This 253-nucleotide ribosomal RNA is filed under the name uncultured bacterium. RNAcentral's name for it is "partial 16S ribosomal RNA". It matches the Rfam family "Bacterial small subunit ribosomal RNA", at positions 524 to 776 of the family's 1533-position model. The record is from RNAcentral.
UACAGAGGGGGCAAGCGUUGUUCGGAAUUACUGGGCGUAAAGGGCGCGUAGGCGGCCUGUUAAGUCGAACGUGAAAUCCCCGGGCUCAACCCGGGAACUGCGUCCGAUACUGGCAGGCUCGAAUCCGGGAGAGGGAUGCGGAAUUCCAGGUGUAGCGGUGAAAUGCGUAGAUAUCUGGAGGAAUACCGGUGGCGAAGGCGGCAUCCUGGACCGACAUUGACGCUGAGGUGCGAAAGCGUGGGGAGCGAACAGG